AGAAUCUUUCGCAAUGCCCGAAAGGGUGACGAAGCGACGCCGCGUGUGGGAAGAAGGCCUUCGGGUUGUAAACCACUGUCGGGAGUUAAGAAAUGUAAGGAUGUUAAUAGCGUCCUUACUUGACUAAGGCUCCGGAGGAAGCCACGGCUAACUCUGUGCCAGCAGCCGCGGUAAUACAGAGGCGGCAAGCGUUGUUCGGAAUUAUUGGGCGUAAAGAGCACGUAGGCGGCCCUGAAAGUCAGUUGUGAAAGCCUUCUGCUUAACGGAAGAACAGCAUCUGAUACUACAGGGCUUGAGUGCGGGAGGGGAGAGUGGAACUUCUGGUGGAGCGGUGAAAUGCGUAGAUAUCAGAAGGAACGCCGGCGGCGAAAGCGGCUCUCUGGCCCGUAACUGACGCUGAGUGUGCGAAAGCUAGGGGAUCAAACGGGAUUAGAUACCCCGGUAGUCCUAGCCGUAAACGAUGGGCACUAAGUAGAGGGGUUUUGAUUAUCUCUCUGCCGGAGCUAACGCAUUAAGUGCCCCGCCUGGGAGGUACGGCCGCAAGGCUAAAACUCAAAAGAAUUGACGGGGGCUCGCACAAGCGGUGGAGCAUGUGGCUUAAUUCGAUGCAACGCGAAGAACCUUACCGGGGUUUGACAUGGUAGAAGUAGGAACCAGAAAUGGUAACGAACGGUAUCCAGUCCGUAACUAUCACAGGUGUUGCAUGGCUG
This 710-nucleotide ribosomal RNA is filed under the name uncultured anaerobic ammonium-oxidizing bacterium. RNAcentral's name for it is "bacterial SSU rRNA". It matches the Rfam family "Bacterial small subunit ribosomal RNA", at positions 358 to 1051 of the family's 1533-position model. The record is from RNAcentral.